AUACGUAGGAGGCGAGCGUUGUCCGGAAUGAUUGGGCGUAAAGGGCGCGUAGGCGGCGCGGUAAGUCUGGAGUGAAAGUCCUGCUUUCAAGGUGGGAAUUGCUUUGGAUACUGCCGCGCUUGAGUGCAGGAGAGGUUAUCGGAAUUCCCGGUGUAGCGGUGAAAUGCGUAGAGAUCGGGAGGAACACCAGUGGCGAAGGCGGGUAACUGGACUGCAACUGACGCUGAGGCGCGAAAGUGUGGGGAGCAAACAGGAUUAGAUACCCUGGUAGUCCACACUGUAAACGAUGAAUGCUAGGUGUAAGAGGUAUCGACCCCUUUUGUGCCGGAGUCAACACAAUAAGCAUUCCGCCUGGGGAGUACGGCCGCAAGGUUGAAACUCAAAGGAAUUGACGGGG
Molecule: ribosomal RNA, 397 nt
Filed under: uncultured bacterium
Lineage: Bacteria
Description: partial 16S ribosomal RNA
Rfam family: Bacterial small subunit ribosomal RNA
Source: RNAcentral